AGAGUUUGAUCAUGGCUCAGGACGAACGCUGGCGGCGUGCCUAAUGCAUGCAAGUCGAGCGGGCUACAAUCUUCGGAUUGUAGUUUAGCGGCGAACGGGUGAGUAGCACGUAGGUAAUCUACCCUUCAGAGGAGGACAACCUCAGGAAACUGAGGCUAAACCUCCAUACGUUCAUUAUCAGGCAUGAUAAUGAAGAAAGAGUUACCGUAAAAGGUAGCUGCUGAAGGAUGAGCCUGCGGCCCAUCAGGUAGUUGGUGAGGUAACGGCUCACCAAGCCGAAGACGGGUAACCGGUCUGAGAGGAUGUCCGGUCACACUGGGACUGAGACACGGCCCAGACUCCUACGGGAGGCAGCAGCAGGGAAUCUUGGGCAAUGGGCGAAAGCCUGACCCAGCGACGCCGCGUGGAGGAAGAAGUCCUUCGGGGCGUAAACUCCUGGACUGGGGGACGAGGAAGGACGGUACCCCAGUAGAAAGGGACGGCUAACUACGUGCCAGCAGCCGCGGUAAAACGUAGGUCCCGAGCGUUGUUCGGAUUCACUGGGUGUAAAGGGCGCGUAGGUGGUUGUCUGUGUCUCAUGUGAAAACUCAGGGCUCAACUCUGAGAUGGCGUGGGAAACUAGGCAGCUAGAGGACGGUAGAGGGGAGUGGAAUUCCCGGUGUAGCGGUAAAAUGCGUAGAUAUCGGGAGGAACACCGGUGGCGAAGGCGGCUCUCUGGGCCGAUCCUGACGCUGAGGCGCGAAAGCUAGGGGAGCGAACCGGAUUAGAUACCCGGGUAGUCCUAGCCGUAAACGAUGGGUGCUAGGUGUUGGGGGGUAAAGACCCUUCAGUGCCGAAGCAAACGCGAUAAGCAUCCCACCUGGGGAGUACGGCCGCAAGGGUUGAAACUUAAAUGAAUUGACGG
Molecule: ribosomal RNA, 904 nt
Filed under: Thermoanaerobacteriaceae bacterium enrichment culture clone L55B-12
Lineage: Bacteria; Pseudomonadati; Thermodesulfobacteriota; Thermodesulfobacteria; Thermodesulfobacteriales; Thermodesulfobacteriaceae
Description: bacterial SSU rRNA
Rfam family: Bacterial small subunit ribosomal RNA
Source: RNAcentral